GUAGGUGAACCUGCGGAAGGAUCAUUACCUAGAGUUGUAGGCUUUGCCUGCUAUCUCUUACCCAUGUCUUUUGAGUACCUUCGUUUCCUCGGCGGGUCCGCCCGCCGAUUGGACAAUUUAAACCAUUUGCAUUUGCAAUCAGCGUCUGAAAAAACUUAAUAGUACAACUUUCAACAACGGAUCUCUUGGUUCUGGCAUCGAUGAAGAACGCAGCGAAAUGCGAUAGGUAGUGUGAAUUGCAGAAUUCAGUGAAUCAUCGAAUCUUUGAACGCACAUUGCGCCCCUUGGUAUUCCAUGGGGCAUGCCUGUUCGAGCGUCAUUUGUACCUUCAAGCUCUGCUUGGUGUUGGGUGUUUGUCUCGCCUCUGCGCGCAGACUCGCCUCAAAACAAUUGGCAGCCGGCGUAUUGAUUUCGGAGCGCAGUACAUCUCGCGCUUUGCACUCAUAACGACGACGUCCAAAAGUACAUUUUUACACUCUUGACCUCGGAUCAGGUAGGGAUACCCGCUGAACUUAAGCA
Molecule: ribosomal RNA, 519 nt
Filed under: uncultured fungus
Lineage: Eukaryota; Fungi
Description: eukaryotic LSU rRNA
Rfam family: 5.8S ribosomal RNA (bases 166-319)
Source: RNAcentral